This 439-nucleotide ribosomal RNA is filed under the name uncultured bacterium. Its description in RNAcentral is "bacterial SSU rRNA". It matches the Rfam family "Bacterial small subunit ribosomal RNA", at positions 958 to 1397 of the family's 1533-position model. The record is from RNAcentral.
AACGCGAAGAACCUUACCAGGAUUUGACAUGGGCAGGACUGGCACAGAGAUGUGUCUUCCCCGCAAGGGGCCUGCCGCACAGGUGCUGCAUGGCUGUCGUCAGCUCGUGUCGUGAGAUGUUGGGUUAAGUCCCGCAACGAGCGCAACCCUUGCCUUUAGUUGCCAGCAUUUAGUUGGGCACUCUAGAGGAACUGCCGGUGACAAGCCGGAGGAAGGUGGGGAUGACGUCAAGUCCUCAUGGCCCUUAUGUCCUGGGCUACACACGUGCUACAAUGGUGGUGACAGUGGGAAGCUAUGUGGUGACACAAUGCUGAUCUCUAAAAGCCAUCUCAGUUCAGAUUGUACUCUGCAACUCGAGUACAUGAAGGUGGAAUCGCUAGUAAUCGUGGAUCAGCAUGCCACGGUGAAUACGUUCCCGGGCCUUGUACACACCGCACGA